This is a small nucleolar RNA of Rattus norvegicus (Norway rat), 128 nucleotides long. Ensembl annotates it as small nucleolar RNA SNORA17. The record is from Ensembl. Lineage: Eukaryota; Metazoa; Chordata; Mammalia; Rodentia; Muridae.
UCUGCCCCUAGGGGCACUGCAGGUGUGACUACUGUGUCACGUGUGCAUCCCAAGGAGACAGAGGAGAGGCUAUGUCUAUGCUCAGCAGUCUGACCUGUGAACGUCUCAAUGAGUAGUAGCCUAAUGUU